Molecule: unclassified non-coding RNA, 377 nt
Filed under: uncultured Actinomycetes bacterium
Lineage: Bacteria; Bacillati; Actinomycetota; Actinomycetes
Description: uncultured actinobacterium contains 16S-23S intergenic spacer region
Source: RNAcentral
UCCGAGUUGACCCCGGCAGUCUCCCAUGAGUCCCCGGCAUGACCCGCUGGCAACAUAGGAUAAGGGUUGCGCUCGUUGCGGGACUUAACCCAACACCUCACGGCACGAGCUGACGACAACCAUGCACCACCUGUGUACGGCCCCUAAGGACACCAUAUCUCUAUGGCUUUUCCGUACAUUUCAAGCCUUGGUAAGGUUCUUCGCGUUGCUUCGAAUUAAGCCACAUGCUCCGCCGCUUGUGCGGGCCCCCGUCAAUUCCUUUGAGUUUUAACCUUGCGGUCGUAAUCCCCAGGCGGGGUGCUUAAUGCGUUAGCUACGGCACGGAGGGAGUGGAAUGUCGCCAACACCUAGUGCCCAACGUUUACGGCGUGGACUAC